UGCCAUUCCCCGGGGAGCCAUGAGGCUGAGAGGUGCGGUGCAAGUCCGUACGACCCGCUGAACCUGAUCCAGUUGACACUGGCGUAGGGAGGGCAUGGCGUUUCCAU
This 107-nucleotide non-coding RNA is filed under the name Sphingobium sp. CECT 9361. Its description in RNAcentral is "TPP". It matches the Rfam family "TPP riboswitch aptamer (THI element)". From Rfam's summary of the family: Vitamin B(1) in its active form thiamin pyrophosphate (TPP) is an essential coenzyme that is synthesised by coupling of pyrimidine and thiazole moieties in bacteria. The previously detected thiamin-regulatory element, thi box was extended, resulting in a new, highly conserved RNA secondary structure, the THI element, which is widely distributed in eubacteria and also occurs in some archaea. The record is from RNAcentral. Lineage: Bacteria; Pseudomonadati; Pseudomonadota; Alphaproteobacteria; Sphingomonadales; Sphingobiaceae.